RNAcentral lists this ribosomal RNA (468 nucleotides) under uncultured bacterium. Its description in RNAcentral is "partial 16S ribosomal RNA". It matches the Rfam family "Bacterial small subunit ribosomal RNA", at positions 28 to 507 of the family's 1533-position model. The record is from RNAcentral.
GACGAACGCUGGCGGCGUGCUUAACACAUGCAAGUCGAACGGAAAGGCCCUGCUUUUGUGGUGUGCUCGAGUGGCGAAUGGGUGAGUAACACGUGAGUAACCUGCCCUUGACUUUGGGAUAACUUCAGGAAACUGGGGCUAAUACCGGAUAGGAGCUCCUGCUGCAUGGUGGGGGUUGGAAAGUUUCGGCGGUUGGGGAUGGACUCGCGGCUUAUCAGCUUGUUGGUGGGGUAGUGGCUUACCAAGGCUUUGACGGGUAGCCGGCCUGAGAGGGUGAACGGCCACAUUGGGACUGAGAUACGGCCCAGACUCCUACGGGAGGCAGCAGUGGGGAAUAUUGCACAAUGGGCGGAAGCCUGAUGCAGCACCGCCGCGUGCGGGAUGACGGCCUUCGGGUUGUAAACCGCUUUCGCCUGUGACGAAGCGUGAGUGACGGUAAUGGGUAAAGAAGCACCGGCUAACUACGUG